CGCGCGUCGACAUCGGACGCUAUGACACACUCGUGCCCUAUGUGCCACCGAAGCCCCGAAGUGGUCUGGCAUAUACCUUCACAUAUAUGCAAUGGCAAGCCCUUCCGUGUGUUCCAAAGACAAUGCCUACGCCUAGCCACAGCAGCUCCCUCAUACAGACUCUGCAAACCAAGAGGCCGUGGAGGCAAAUGCAGGCAGCCAGCACACCUCGAACAGCCACCUUGACUGCGGGUGUGUCACCCUAGUCGCCAAGGAAACAUUUGAGGGAAAGUGACAGGCAAUGUGAACAGCCACUCCUCCAUGUAAACAAUACUCUUUCUCUCGGAUGACUCCUACGCCUCACCACGCCAGCACACUUGUGCACAAAGAUGCCGCAGAGGCACGUGCAGGUCAGAGGCAAGAAGCAGUGGCACUGGUGUCGACAUUUACCCAAUUUUUUUUUCUUACACUGAGGCAGCCAGCACACCUCGAACAGCCACCUCGACUGCGGGUGUGUUAGUUGAUCCCUGUUGUACAUAUGCUCAUAAUAAACUUCAGUAAACUUGAACUUCAUAAUAAACUUGAAGGCAAAUGGUACAUUGAUGCAUUGUA
This is a non-coding RNA of Dermacentor albipictus, 591 nucleotides long. The record is from RefSeq and is a predicted model, not a curated record. Lineage: Eukaryota; Metazoa; Arthropoda; Arachnida; Ixodida; Ixodidae.